AUGCGGACCUGUUGGGGCCGUGGAGGAGGUCUGUCUCUCCGUUCAGGGAUCCUCCUUCUGUUAGUGCCGCCGCUUCUUCUCGCGCUGCAGCAGCUCGUGCUGGUCGGGUCCCGGUUACCGGGGCCUGAGGCUCGGGGUCCGGGCGGAGAUCCAGCUUUUACCGUCAUCAGCAUUGAACCGGUGGAGAAGUCCCGCCUGUGGGGGAACAGGGCCCUGCGCUUUGGCUUACAGGCGGAGGAGGAUGAGGAGGAGAGGAGGAAGGAUGGAGAGAGGAAGCAGAGAGGAGGUCUUUACCAGGAUGAGACUGAGCUGAGACAGAAGGAACCCAGGGUCUUGAAGGUGCAGCCGUGGGCAACCGACAAGCCAUCCUUUACAGCAGAACUCACUCGUCUCAUCACAUAUAUCACAACAGCACAGUUUGGAUGGCAACCAUGGAGACAGAAGAGGCGUGGUUACUCGGCACAAGAUGUGGCUGGAGUGGCGGGCUCAGAAGAAACGCAAACACAAGACAGGAGGACACCUGAGUGCUGUUUCUCAUACACUGGCAGAUAUCAUGGCAGCGCUGGGACACCAAUCAGUCCACUUCCUCUAUGCUGACCUGUUAAGUGCUGAAUGGCGAGUUUUUCAUAGCCUAAUUGAAGAGGACACUCUCCACCAUAUCCAUCAUCUGGUUGCCAAGGUGCACCUGCAAUGGGCAGGCUUUGAAGUGGGCGGAACCAAUGAGGAAGUUCUUCGCUAUUGGUUCAGUGUCCUUAGGGGCCUUCAAACCUCUGGACUGAAGCUGGUCCACAGCUCAGCAGGAGAGGGUCACACUGUCCUGAAGCAGACUGUAGGACAUGCCCACAGUUCCUAUACUCUGAGCUGGGUCAACACACAGUACUGACCCCCACUCAUGGAGGAACACACUGGUGUGGUGCUGGUGAAGAAGACAGAUGGAAAGGCUUAAAAACAUUUGGAGGACUUUUAGUCAAAUUCUUUUAUACUCAAAGAUUCCAGGCUAUGACUGUAUUUUGAUCAACAGCUACCUCUACUGGACAUCAAUGGAUUUGCGUUGUAUUUCCAGUUUGAUGACACUGCUGCUAUUAUCCAUCGUAAUACUGUAAUGCAGGGGUUCUCAAAAGUUUUGGACACAGGGAACAUUUUCAAGGACCCCCUCAUAAUCCUCACGUCAAUUAAAAACAAUUUACAGCCAUUUGUUCCCUUAAAUUCCAUAGGAAUUAUGUAUUAUUUGAACUUUUCAACAUGAAAAGUGUUGAAUGUGUUACCAAUAAAGAAAAUAUGUGCAAAUGUAUUUGACA
This 1298-nucleotide long non-coding RNA is filed under the name Gouania willdenowi (blunt-snouted clingfish). RNAcentral's name for it is "lncRNA (ENSGWIG00000019883.1)". The record is from RNAcentral. Lineage: Eukaryota; Metazoa; Chordata; Actinopteri; Blenniiformes; Gobiesocidae.